CUGGGGUAACACUGACGUUCAUGCUCGAAAGCGUGGGUAGCAAACAGGAUUAGAUACCCUGGUAGUCCACGCCCUAAACGAUGUCAAUUAGCUGUUGGGCAACUUGAUUGCUUAGUAGCGUAGCUAACGCGUGAAAUUGACCGCCUGGGGAGUACGGUCGCAAGAUUAAAACUCAAAGGAAUUGACGGGGACCCGCACAAGCGGUGGAUGAUGUGGAUUAAUUCGAUGCAACGCGAAGAACCUUACCUGGUCUUGACAUGUACGGAAUCUUUCAGAGACGGAAGAGUGCCUUCGGGAACCGUAACACAGGUGCUGCAUGGCUGUCGUCAGCUCGUGUCGUGAGAUGUUGGGUUAAGUCCCGCAACGAGCGCAACCCUUGUCAUUAGUUGCCAUCAUUAAGUUGGGCACUCUAAUGAGACUGCCGGUGACAAACCGGAGGAAGGUGGGGAUGACGUCAAGUCCUCAUGGCCCUUAUGGCCAGGGCUUCACACGUCAUACAAUGGUCGGUACAAAGGGUAGCCAAGCCGCGAGGUGGAGCCAAUCCCAGAAAACCGAUCGUAGUCCGGAUUGCACUCUGCAACUCGAGUGCAUGAAGUCGGAAUCGCUAGUAAUCGCAGGUCAGCAUACUGCGGUGAAUACGUUCCCGGGUCUUGUACACACCGCCCGUCACACCAUGGGAGUGGGGGAUACCAGAAGUAGAUAGG
Molecule: ribosomal RNA, 704 nt
Filed under: Kingella kingae
Lineage: Bacteria; Pseudomonadati; Pseudomonadota; Betaproteobacteria; Neisseriales; Neisseriaceae
Description: bacterial SSU rRNA
Rfam family: Bacterial small subunit ribosomal RNA
Source: RNAcentral